GAUGAACGCUAGCGGGAGGCCUAACACAUGCAAGCCGAGCGGUAUUGUUUCUUCGGAAAUGAGAGAGCGGCGUACGGGUGCGGAACACGUGUGCAACCUGCCUUUAUCUGGGGGAUAGCCUUUCGAAAGGAAGAUUAAUACUCCAUAAUAUAUUGAACGGCAUCGUUUAAUAUUGAAAGCUCCGGCGGAUAGAGAUGGGCACGCGCAAGAUUAGCUAGUUGGUGAGGUAACGGCUCACCAAGGCGAUGAUCUUUAGGGGGCCUGAGAGGGUGAUCCCCCACACUGGUACUGAGACACGGACCAGACUCCUACGGGAGGCAGCAGUGAGGAAUAUUGGUCAAUGGGUGCAAGCCUGAACCAGCCAUCCCGCGUGAAGGACGACUGCCCUAUGGGUUGUAAACUUCUUUUGUAUAGGGAUAAACCUACCCUCGUGAGGGUAGCUGAAGGUACUAUACGAAUAAGCACCGGCUAACUCCGUGCCAGCAGCCGCAGUAA
RNAcentral lists this ribosomal RNA (495 nucleotides) under uncultured bacterium. RNAcentral's name for it is "partial 16S ribosomal RNA". It matches the Rfam family "Bacterial small subunit ribosomal RNA", at positions 28 to 523 of the family's 1533-position model. The record is from RNAcentral.